AUCCAUCUGACGACUCCCAAAGAGGACGAAAUGCGCGUCCUGGAU
RNAcentral lists this non-coding RNA (45 nucleotides) under Schistosoma margrebowiei. The record is from RNAcentral. Lineage: Eukaryota; Metazoa; Platyhelminthes; Trematoda; Strigeidida; Schistosomatidae.